Molecule: non-coding RNA, 82 nt
Organism: Pristis pectinata (smalltooth sawfish)
Lineage: Eukaryota; Metazoa; Chordata; Chondrichthyes; Rhinopristiformes; Pristidae
Source: the annotation of a RefSeq genome assembly
GACGAGGUGGUCGAGAGGCUAAGGCGAUGGACUGAUAAUCAAUUGUGCUUUGCACGCAUGGGUUCGAAUCCCAUUCUCGUCG